Parus major (Great Tit) is the source of this 767-nucleotide RNA transcript. RefSeq lists it as uncharacterized. Lineage: Eukaryota; Metazoa; Chordata; Aves; Passeriformes; Paridae. The record is from RefSeq and is a predicted model, not a curated record. The transcript has 4 exons.
AGCCAGCAGCAGCCCCUGUCACAUUCCUGCAGCCGUGGCUCUGAAAUCCUCUGAAGACAGAGAUUAAAGGUUUGACGCAAGGAGUCAAAAGCUGGCUUGGAUGUAAAUCCCAAGCAGGGGCAUUCCUGAUUUACAGCAGAUUUACAUCCCUUCUUCUCCAUGGGGAUUUUGCAAACCCCUCUAGGUCUGCUGCUUGCUCAUCCCCUAAUUUGACUUUCCCAGAAAUGGUUGGGGUAACUCUUAGUGUGGGAAGAACUGGAAAUAGCAGUUGUCAUUCCCAGGUCCUGGCAGUGAUUUCAGCAGCAGAGCCGAGGUUUUCCUGCUGUUUGAUUUAAUUAAUUCCUCUUUUUGUUUUAAGCAGAUAGCAACUGGAGGUGUGGCACUGCCAGGAGGGGUUGCAACAGCAGAUUCCGCAUUGCCAGUGCUGCCUGUCCCAAAUGCCAUCAGACAAAAAGCCACUUUAGGCUACGCUGGAUUCAUCCCCCGAGCUGCUGAAAACUUUGGCAUGACCUACAUUGCAUCUGUGAAGAAAGCCAUGAAUCAAUUUGAUCGAGAACAGCUUUUGCAGAGAAAUCCACCUUAUACACUGGGCACAAGAUUCCCCCGGACACACUGGCCAGACACCAAAAUUUACAGCCGUGCUGGACUCAUACCUGACUACAUGGGCUUUGUACCAUGCCUGCAGGAACUGUGUGGGCUCACUUACGGGAACGGCACGCGGGAAUCGUACCGGUGCGAACAGAGGAGACGGGGACGUGCACUGUGAA